Molecule: long non-coding RNA, 798 nt
Organism: Oncorhynchus tshawytscha (Chinook salmon)
Lineage: Eukaryota; Metazoa; Chordata; Actinopteri; Salmoniformes; Salmonidae
Source: Ensembl
AAGGUAAAAUAGGAAACAGGAAGCAAAAUUCCAGAGCGGAGUUUUCCAAAAUAGAGCAGGUUCCUAAUUUCAUCUGCCUUGGCUGAUCUGCUCUUACAUGCACGACCACCGCGUGUUGAUUGCCAAUUAGUGGAAUGGGAACAGGUGUGUUGAUUGCCAAUUAGUGGAAUGGGAACAGGUGUGUUGAUUGCCAAUUAGUGGAGUGGGACCAGGUGUGUUGAUUGCCAAUUAGUGGAGUGGGAACAGGUGUGUUGAUUGCCAAUUAGUGGAGUGGGAACAGGUGUGUUGAUUGCCAAUUAGUGGAGUGGGAACAGGUGUGGUGAUUGACAAUUAGUGGAGUGGGAACAGGUGUGUUGAUUGACAAUUAGUGGAGUGGGAACAGGUGUGUUGAUUGACAAUAGACAAUAAGAUUACAAGUCCUACCUACGACAACCACUGCAUUUAAAAGCAAAGAGACAGUUUCUUUAUUUGAGAGUUUGUUUCUUGCUUAAACAGAGAGAAUUAAAAAAAAAAAAGGUUUCUAUUCAUUAAAAAAAAUAUAACAUUUUUUGUUUUGUUUGCUUGUAUAAUGUACAUAUCAAAUACAUUGUGUGUUGCCUCAGACCCCAGUCCAAGAUAUGGUAACACAAUCCCUCUCCACAACGCAUCCAAGAGCCCUCCUCCACUAUGGAGAACAGAAUAUCACACAUUCACGUUAUAUCUGCUAUUUCCAAGUUGUGUUCCUGAAUCGUAAGCUGCCAUAGCAACUGCUAUUUGGGGAAACAGUUGUAGUAUUACUUCAUAGUCAUUUGAUUUGAG